UUGUGUCCUCAGUUUCUGUCAACUCCAUCAGAUUAUUCUAUAAACCUCAUUAAAUCAUGCAAUAUCAUGGUCAGCUAUAUCCCUGGGGACCCCUUUUCAUUUCCUGCUUCUGGUGAAUGCAACACCACCACACAUGGUCUGGUAGGUUUUACAGUUUUUGAUAUUUUAGAGAAACAAUGUCAAUAUUUUUAUGGUCACAGCUGGACCAUGUCAACACCGUCUCUCCAUUAUUAUACUUUUUUUUAAACCAUAGUGAGUUCAAUUAAAGUAUUUUAGUGAGAUUAUCAGGACAGCUAGCAACUGCCAAAAAAGUAGCUAGCUGCACUGUACAAUAAAUGUUUUGGAGGGAAAAUACACGCCCUUACGUCAACUCCGUCAGGCGUCAACUCCGUCAGAUUUUGUGUCUGACGAAGUUGACAUGUAAGCUGAUGGAGUUGACAAAUCCAGCUAUAACCUCUUAAUGUGCUGACAUUAUGCUAUUUUUGAACAUGGUUAAGGAUAACAAUGUUAUUCCAGGGUCUUAUCUGCACAUAAAAGUACAUUUAUAGCAUAUAUUACGUUAUUUUACCAUAUACUUCUGUUUUGUAGAGUAGACCAUGGGCAGGCUGUCUGCUUAAUUAUAACUGUCAAACUUUCCCAACACACACACACACACACACACACACACACACACACACACACACACACACACACACACCCUAAUCUCAUUGAUUGAUUGAUUAAUGUCAAAUCCUAAAGGUGCAGUAUGUAAUUUUCACUACCUAAAAUCUACACACUGGCUUCUUAUAGAGUGCGCAAGAAGUUCUAUGUUGCUCUUUUAAACCCCAGUGUAGGUGGGAUACCAGAUAGAAGAAAAAGGUUAUUAUUUUUACAUUGUUAACUUGGACCCUCAGACCUUGGGCUCUAUUUUUGUGUCCACCGGCGACAUGGCGGAGGGUGGUGAACCCCGCGCAGUGGCAUUUUCGUCUGGCGGAGCUCAGCGUACAGCCAGUUUGGUAUUUUCGUGGACUAAGGUGCACCGAGGUCCGCCAGGCUGGGCGUGGAUGUGUGGCAGGGUGAGGUGUCCACAGAAUCAGCUGGUGCAGCGACAUUUUCGUACUUGUUGCCGGCGUGUAAAGUGCGCUGAAAGCUUGCAGAUUCAAACCUGGUCAGCUUUCAGCACAGGUGGAUCCGGAUGGGCUAGUGGUAUUUUGGGAGACCGGCGGCAUAUCGGCCUCACCAGCAGGUUUCCACAGUGUCAGGAACAUUUCCGUGCAAUAAAUAAUCAAUAACAACUAAUAAUCUGUGUCAGCACAUACAUUUAGAUCUAUAUCGAUGUAUUCUGAUCUAUAUCUGAUCUGAUGAGUGCAUUUGGCACGCGUUUGGACACUCAACCUGACCAAAUUAACACAGCUGCUGAAUCCGCAUGAAAUUGAAUCAAAUAUCUAGUAAAUAAACACGCAUUAUGAAGUUAACAAGAUAUUUAAUUUGUCUGCCCCCAUUUCUAGCUUCCUCUUCCUCUUAUUUCUCGCGCAGCUCAACCUGGACAUGUCUCCGUGUCCUCUACCCGUCCUGCUGCAGCUGCUGCUGCGGCAGCUGAACAGAUGAUUUGUUCCAGUGAUCGGAUGAGUUUUUUACUUUAAGCCUACAUACAAA
Molecule: non-coding RNA, 1635 nt
Organism: Xyrichtys novacula (pearly razorfish)
Lineage: Eukaryota; Metazoa; Chordata; Actinopteri; Labriformes; Labridae
Source: the annotation of a GenBank genome assembly